GCCCUCGUAGCUCAGUGGAUAGAGCAAGGGAUUUCUAAUCCCUGGGUCGUGGGUUCAAAUCCUACCGAGGGCG
This 73-nucleotide transfer RNA is filed under the name Moorena producens 3L. RNAcentral's name for it is "Moorea producens 3L tRNA-Arg". It matches the Rfam family "tRNA". From Rfam's summary of the family: Transfer RNA (tRNA) molecules are approximately 80 nucleotides in length. Their secondary structure includes four short double-helical elements and three loops (D, anti-codon, and T loops). Lineage: Bacteria; Bacillati; Cyanobacteriota; Cyanophyceae; Coleofasciculales; Coleofasciculaceae. RNAcentral also lists the same sequence under 16 other names. The record is from RNAcentral.